UGUGCUAGAGUUACCAAGAGUCAGUGGUAAGCAUUUCUAUUCGAUGAGGGUUCGUGGUUAGGUACAAAUGCAAGUACUCACUACAAAGUGAGCACUUCCUUGCGAGGACACCAUGAGCGAGACUGAAGCUGUUUGAUGGAAGGUACAUGCUUUAAGCCUCUCCUACAAAAUGAAGACAAUGCAGCUAUUUUCCCUGUUUUGUACAAUGAUAAUCGUAUUUGCUGCCUUUUCCGCCAGCAAAAAGACGUUAACAGAUUCAAAACUAUGCAAACAGACAGCAGUUUGCGAACACCAAUGGGAAAUUCUCUGCCGCUCAGCAGGUGGACACUGGUUAUUAACUUGUGGAGAAAAUAGAGUAGUCUGCCGGAGCUAUUGGCGAUCGACUUGUGCCCGACCAUCUGUUCGUUUUUGCCAAUCAAGCAGGGUACAUUGCAUGUGUCGUUGUGCAAGAGCAACCAGUUUGUAGAAGAACUUAUGAUCU
This 481-nucleotide long non-coding RNA is filed under the name Rhipicephalus microplus (southern cattle tick). Its description in RNAcentral is "uncharacterized LOC119167934, transcript variant X1". The record is from RNAcentral. Lineage: Eukaryota; Metazoa; Arthropoda; Arachnida; Ixodida; Ixodidae.